AACGUAGGUGGCGAGCGUUAUCCGGAAUUACUGGGCGUAAAGAGCUCGUAGGUGGUUUGUCGCGUUGUUCGUGAAAACUCACAGCUUAACUGUGGGCGUGCGGGCGAUACGGGCAGACUGGAGUACUGCAGGGGAGACUGGAAUUCCUGGUGUAGCGGUGGAAUGCGCAGAUAUCAGGAGGAACACCGGUGGCGAAGGCGGGUCUCUGGGCAGUAACUGACGCUGAGGAGCGAAAGCGUGGGGAGCGAACAGG
RNAcentral lists this ribosomal RNA (253 nucleotides) under uncultured bacterium. Its description in RNAcentral is "partial 16S ribosomal RNA". It matches the Rfam family "Bacterial small subunit ribosomal RNA", at positions 524 to 776 of the family's 1533-position model. The record is from RNAcentral.